CGCGGGGUGGAGCAGCCCGGUAGCUCGCAAGGCUCANNGCUCAUAACCUUGAGGUCGCAGGUUCAAAUCCUGUCCCCGCAACCA
RNAcentral lists this transfer RNA (84 nucleotides) under Candidatus Omnitrophota bacterium. RNAcentral describes it as "Candidatus Omnitrophica bacterium tRNA-OTHER". It matches the Rfam family "tRNA". Rfam says of the family: Transfer RNA (tRNA) molecules are approximately 80 nucleotides in length. Their secondary structure includes four short double-helical elements and three loops (D, anti-codon, and T loops). Further hydrogen bonds mediate the characteristic L-shaped molecular structure. tRNAs have two regions of fundamental functional importance: the anti-codon, which is responsible for specific mRNA codon recognition, and the 3' end, to which the tRNAs corresponding amino acid is attached (by aminoacyl-tRNA synthetases). tRNAs cope with the degeneracy of the genetic code in two manners: having more than one tRNA (with a specific anti-codon) for a particular amino acid; and 'wobble' base-pairing, i.e. permitting non-standard base-pairing at the 3rd anti-codon position. The record is from RNAcentral. Lineage: Bacteria; Pseudomonadati; Candidatus Omnitrophota.